GCUGACCAGGAAGAACGCAACCAGACCAAGCGGCCUCCGGAGCCGUGUGCGCAGGUUCGAAUCCUGCCGGGGGCA
RNAcentral lists this transfer RNA (75 nucleotides) under Streptomyces achromogenes. Its description in RNAcentral is "tRNA-Ser". The record is from RNAcentral. Lineage: Bacteria; Bacillati; Actinomycetota; Actinomycetes; Kitasatosporales; Streptomycetaceae.